This 465-nucleotide ribosomal RNA is filed under the name uncultured bacterium. RNAcentral's name for it is "partial 16S ribosomal RNA". It matches the Rfam family "Bacterial small subunit ribosomal RNA", at positions 339 to 795 of the family's 1533-position model. The record is from RNAcentral.
CUACGGGUCGCUCCAGUGGGGAAUACUGGACAAUGGGGGAAACCCUGAUCCAGCAAUGCCGCGUGUGUGAAGAAGGCCUGCGGGUUGUAAAGCACUUUCGGUUGGGAGGACUGCUUCUAGCACUAAUAUUGUUGGAAGUUGACGUUACCUUCAGAAGAAGCACCGGCUAACUCCGUGCCAGCAGCCGCGGUAAUACGGAGGGUGCAAGCGUUAAUCGGAAUUACUGGGCGUAAAGCGCGCGUAGGCGGCUAGAUCAGUCGGGUGUGAAAGCCCCGGGCUUAACCUGGGAACUGCAUCCGAUACUGUCUAGCUUGAGUACAGGAGAGGAGAGUGGAAUUCCACAUGUAGCGGUGAAAUGCGUAGAUAUGUGGAGGAACACCAAUGGCGAAGGCAGCUCUCUGGUCUGAUACUGACGCUGAGGUGCGAAAGCGUGGGGAACAAACAGGAUUAGAUACCCGUGUAGUC